This 157-nucleotide ribosomal RNA is filed under the name uncultured bacterium. Its description in RNAcentral is "partial 16S ribosomal RNA". It matches the Rfam family "Bacterial small subunit ribosomal RNA", at positions 355 to 507 of the family's 1533-position model. The record is from RNAcentral.
UCGGGAAUUUUGGGCAAUGGGCGAAAGCCUGACCCAGCAACGCCGCGUGAAGGAUGAAAUCCCUCGGGAUGUAAACUUCGCAAGAACGGGAAGAAUAAGUCUGUGUUAACACCACAGGCGAUGACGGUACUGUUUGUAAGCUCCGGCUAACUCCGUG